Long non-coding RNA from Morone saxatilis (striped sea-bass), 227 nucleotides. RefSeq lists it as uncharacterized. The record is from RefSeq and is a predicted model, not a curated record. The transcript has 3 exons. Lineage: Eukaryota; Metazoa; Chordata; Actinopteri; Moronidae.
AGCACCUACCAGCACAUUUUGCAAAUUUUGGGCAGUCUCCAGCCACACAUGACGCUCCACAGGCAGAUGUCAGUCUACACAGACUUCAUCCAGGUUUACCUGACUACCAACAACACCAAAGCCUGUGUGUCGGCCUCCAACGGCAGUGCAGAUUGGCUGAUGAAGAAUCUGGGUCCGUUUUCAAGACUACUGACCGUCAGAGAGCUGAUUCAUCUCAACCCAGACUU